ACAGGUACCAUCAUAUAGUCCUGAAGACAUUUGGUUUCAUCUGCUCUUGGAAGCUAAGCAGGGUCAGACAUAGUUAGUAUUUGGAUGGGAGACUACUGCAAAAUCCUGGGGCCUGUA
Molecule: ribosomal RNA, 117 nt
Filed under: Pogona vitticeps (central bearded dragon)
Lineage: Eukaryota; Metazoa; Chordata; Lepidosauria; Squamata; Agamidae
Source: RNAcentral